Molecule: non-coding RNA, 526 nt
Organism: Erythranthe guttata (spotted monkey flower)
Lineage: Eukaryota; Viridiplantae; Streptophyta; Magnoliopsida; Lamiales; Phrymaceae
Source: RefSeq, a predicted model, not a curated record
CACAUCACAUUAUCCAGACUAAUUAGAACAGAGCUUCAUAAAAAUGAAGUGCAUCACCUCUCACUCUCUGCACUCUCAAUUAUUUUCCGACCACAAAUAUAACCACCAAAAUGAAUUUACAAAUCGCAAUCUUAAUUACACCAAUCGCAGUUUCUCCUUAGCGUUGUCGUUCAGGACAAGGUCUCUACCGGCAGCCUCUUCUAUUUUUCUUGCAGCAAGCGCGCCGGUCGUCGGAGGAAAGUUGUCGGUCCUACUUCAGACAGGGGGUGUGUGUUUAUUUGCAUACUGGGUGGUGAAUUUUGCUGUGCCGGAGUUUAUAAUGAAGGAUAUUCAGUCCAGAGUGGAAAAGGAGGAUGGAGAUAAUCCAUCGGAAGAAGAUCAACGGUGAAGCGGACAAGUUGGGAUAAUUCAAUUUUUAAUUAGGAGUUUUGGUUGAGUAAUGAUACAUUAAUGGUACUUACCAAUUGUACUCAAUUUUAUGAAUUUUAAAUAUUCUUUCUGCAAAAUUGUGUUGGGUACUUGUUCA